GUGUGUAUUUUGGGUUGAAUAAUUAGCGUUUCAUUUUCUUUCAGUUGUCAAUACUUAAGUUACGACCGGGUGUAUAAAAAUGAGCGCUGAACAAUCCACCGGCAAAUAUCCCCUUUUAAAUACUAUUACUAUUAAAGGACGAAGAAAUGUUGUUUUGGCUGUACUUGGUUUUUACGCUGGCCUUUUUGGUUUUAUCAAAUACUCUCGAUCCUCCAAGUCUGAAAAACUAGAAAAAAAUGUUUAGUUAUUAAUCUUCAUGUGAUUCCUCUUUUUAAUAAACAUUUAUUUUGUACA
Long non-coding RNA from Zophobas morio, 294 nucleotides. RefSeq lists it as uncharacterized. Lineage: Eukaryota; Metazoa; Arthropoda; Insecta; Coleoptera; Tenebrionidae. The record is from RefSeq and is a predicted model, not a curated record. The transcript is spliced from 3 exons.